UACGAAGGGGGCUAGCGUUGUUCGGAAUUACUGGGCGUAAAGGGCGCGUAGGCGGUGUGUCAAGUCAGGCGUGAAAGCCCCGGGCUCAACCUGGGAAUUGCGCGCGAAACGGGGGGGCUUGAGUUCGGGAGAGGAGCGUGGAAUUCCCAGUGUAGAGGUGAAAUUCGUAGAUAUUGGGAAGAACACCGGUGGCGAAGGCGGCGCUCUGGACCGAGACUGACGCUGAGGCGCGAAAGCGUGGGGAGCAAACAGG
RNAcentral lists this ribosomal RNA (253 nucleotides) under uncultured bacterium. RNAcentral describes it as "partial 16S ribosomal RNA". It matches the Rfam family "Bacterial small subunit ribosomal RNA", at positions 524 to 776 of the family's 1533-position model. The record is from RNAcentral.